RNA transcript from Echinops telfairi (small Madagascar hedgehog), 2354 nucleotides. It is a transcript of the gene named protein phosphatase 1 regulatory subunit 3E, with no coding region annotated. The transcript is spliced from 2 exons. The record is from RefSeq and is a predicted model, not a curated record. Lineage: Eukaryota; Metazoa; Chordata; Mammalia; Afrosoricida; Tenrecidae.
CAGCGCCUGGUGGGGGAGGGAGACGAGGGUGGGAGAGGUCCACGGAGCUAGGGGAGCCUGGGAUGGGGAAAACGCUGUUUGGGUGUGAGUGGAAGGAACCGGAAGCCUUAGAGGAGAGAGACGGGAAAAGGUGUUGGAGGAAUUAGGAAGAAAAUAAACCAAUGGAGGCUGGUGGGGCCGUUCUCUCUCGCAGUGGGCACUGGGGAGGAAGUGAGGAGGCUUGCCAGGCGGUGCGGUAUGAAGUGAGGGCAGCUCCUUGGGGCUGCGGUACUGUGUGUAAACUAGGAGCCCACCGGUUACUCAUUUCCUCCUCCUCUUCACCAUUGCCACCUCAGGUCUCCCAUCCCUGUCGGCCCUAGCUCGAACUCAGCCGUAAUUGCCUUGCUUAAUCCCAGGGAUUUGACAGUUGCUCACUGGGCUUUGGCAUUAUGAGAGGCUCUCUUGUCAGCCCUGGCGGCACCUACCUUCCGUUUCUAGGGACUGGCUGGGGAGGAGAGACAGACAGUCAGAACUUCGUCCUCCAGAUUCCAGGCAACCCAGGGGAAUAUAAUGGAGGCAGAAGUAAUUCUGAGUCUGCCCUUGUAGCUAAAUAACGAGGUGCCUAAGGGGUUGAUACACUCAAGGGCUUCCAGAAAUUUUGCCUUGCCUUUCUGGGGUGCCCUCCAAUGAUCUCUAAGCACUUUAUGGGUUGCAUUUGUCAAGAGAAGGUGGGUGAAGAAACACUGUUCAGAUCUAUCCUGUCUAGCCCCGAAGAAAGAAGUCCCUGAUAAAUUGUAUACCUUGCAUCAGGCAUUCACUUCUCUGGGCUCCGAGUUUCUUCCGCAGGAAAUUGACCCGAGAUUCCCUUCUGGCUGUGACAUUUUAUGAUCUGUGAGUGGUAGAGCUUAGAGUAGAAGCCAUGGUCUUCAGUCUAGCUCUAUAGUUGCAUACUGCACUGUCUGUUUGGGGCUGAGGAUGGGUCUUCUCCCUUGGGGUACAGAUGUACCUGAGUCCAGCAAGGAACUGUGACCAGCCUGCAGGCUCAGGGUAUUUGGAGGUCUCUGUCAAAUGACUCCUCAGGUCUGCCCCCUUGCUUUUGGCCUUCCGUAGACAGACUCCCAGCCUGGAUGCUCUGGAACAGCUUUGGGGUUAGAUGCUUGGGAGUCCUUUUAAGUGAAACCAUGUGGGGCCUCUAUGAAAGAUAAAAGAUCAUGGGUACAAGGAAUGGACAGCAUUUCAAAUCAAGACUCAAGCAACACUUGAAGAUGAACUGUUAACAGAAAAUAAUAGUCUGAUCUAUACCCCGAGCAAGUGAAACGGAAAAGCUGGACUCUUCACGCGUCUCAUUCAUCCUUGUAACUCUCCUGGCAGCCUGAACAUCGGAGUCAUGCCUCUGCUGGCUGCCUGCUUUUCCUUUUCCCUCAGCCUCGCCCUGCACCCUGUGCUUCCCGCUCUUCCUUGCCCCCGUUCCUUUUCACCACUCUGCUUGUUUCUCCUAACAUGCCAAGGCUCCUUCCUGACCGCCUUCUAGAAGGGAGAAGCGGGGAAGCAGCCGCAGUUCCUGAUGCUCUGGAAGAACUGGAAGCUCCCAGGUAAUCGUCUCCCAGUCCCCUCUUCUUUCUGUUACUGAUUUCUCAGAUUAAAAAUGCUAGCUCCCCCUCUCAUUAAAUGAGAGAGAGAGAGAGAAUUUUGCAUGUGUCCACACUUCUCCACACAUGCAUUCAGAAUGGAGUGUGGCACUUGCCGUCACCAUGUCCCCUCUGCCCAGAGCCUUAAUCCUUUGAAGGAAGAUGGCUGAAAGAGAAUGAGCACGGACCUUCCUCAAACAAAUGCCCAUGUGAGCCUCACCCGGAUCGCCUGAAGAAGGACACAGCAUUUUGUAUCUCGUGGGUCACCUGCAGGCCGGAAGUUCCAGCAGGAACACUGGAGAAACUCUGAGGAGAGGAACUGUACUGGAGUCUGGCAAGCAAGGCACUGUGAAGUCCUCAUUGAGGACCCCAAGCGAGGGAGGGUAACGGAACCGGCGAGCCUGGGUCGAAACUCAGGGUUGUAACCAUCUUUGCCCUCCGUGUGUGCCUCACUGUUACGUGGCAUUAGCAAAAGCUCCCAUUGACCCAGUGUGCACCUGCUCAAAGCUAGUGGUGGUUUGCAUGCAUUAUUUUAUUUAAUCUUCUAAAAUAAGAGUUUAUUAAUAUCACUGCCUCUGUUUUAGAGUCAAGGAAAUGGGCUCAGAGAAGCUCAGCAAUUUGCUCAAGGUCACCCAGCUAAUAAGUGGAAGUUAUGAUUGUAAACACAGGAAAUCUUGAAUCUGGAGCCUAUGUGCAUAACCAUGACACGUUCUUUUUUUUUAAAGCAAAAUAAAGUUUAAAACCUUG